ACGCUUGAGUGGGCAUGGUUUUCAUCUAUGACUGGUAGCAGCAAUGUCGGUCUGUGUUUUGCAUGCAGAUCUUGUUAUCCACACAAAUAUCACGCAGCCAAAGAGAAACUCGGGAUCAUAGUACUGAUCUAGUGUUGUCUCUUAGGACACACCUCUGGAAUUUGGCCAGCCUCCAAAUUCCCUCACACAG
This is a small nucleolar RNA of Nycticebus coucang (slow loris), 190 nucleotides long. RefSeq annotates it as small nucleolar RNA SNORA23. The transcript has a single exon. The record is from RefSeq and is a predicted model, not a curated record. Lineage: Eukaryota; Metazoa; Chordata; Mammalia; Primates; Lorisidae.